UCCAGACUCCUACGGGAGGCAGCAGUGGGGGAUAUUGCACAAUGGGGGGAACCCUGAUGCAGCGACGCCGCGUGGGUGAAGAAGCGCCUCGGCGCGUAAAGCCCUGUCAGCAGGGAAGAAAAUGACGGUACCUGAAGAAGAAGCCCCGGCUAACUACGUGCCAGCAGCCGCGGUAAUACGUAGGGGGCAAGCGUUAUCCGGAUUUACUGGGUGUAAAGGGAGCGUAGACGGCGGCGCAAGUCUGGAGUGAAAUCCCGGGGCUCAACCCCGGAACUGCUUUGGAAACUGCGCGGCUCGAGUGCAGGAGGGGCAGGCGGAAUUCCUAGUGUAGCGGUGAAAUGCGUAGAUAUUAGGAGGAACACCAGUGGCGAGGGCGGCCUGCUGGACUGUAACUGACGUUGAGGCUCGAAAGCGUGGGGAGCAAACAGGAUUAGAUACCCCGGUA
RNAcentral lists this ribosomal RNA (445 nucleotides) under uncultured bacterium. RNAcentral's name for it is "bacterial SSU rRNA". It matches the Rfam family "Bacterial small subunit ribosomal RNA", at positions 330 to 792 of the family's 1533-position model. The record is from RNAcentral.